GUCCCUGUAGCGUAAUGGAUAGCGCGUUGGAAUUCUAAUCCAAAGGUAGUGGGUUCGAAUCCCACAUGGGAUG
RNAcentral lists this transfer RNA (73 nucleotides) under Trichonephila inaurata madagascariensis. It matches the Rfam family "tRNA". From Rfam's summary of the family: Transfer RNA (tRNA) molecules are approximately 80 nucleotides in length. Lineage: Eukaryota; Metazoa; Arthropoda; Arachnida; Araneae; Nephilidae. The record is from Rfam by way of RNAcentral.